UACAGAGGGGGCUAGCGUUGUUCGGAAUUACUGGGCGUAAAGGGCUCGUAGGCGGCCAACUAAGUCCGACGUGAAAUCCCCAGGCUCAACCUGGGAACUGCGUCGGAUACUGGAUGGCUUGAAUUCGGGAGAGGGAUGCAGAAUUCCAGGUGUAGCGGUGAAAUGCGCAGAUAUCAGGAGGAACACCAAUGGCGAAGGCAGCUCGCUGGGACGGUACUGACGCUGAGACGCGAAAGCGUGGGGAGCAAACAGG
RNAcentral lists this ribosomal RNA (253 nucleotides) under uncultured bacterium. RNAcentral's name for it is "partial 16S ribosomal RNA". It matches the Rfam family "Bacterial small subunit ribosomal RNA", at positions 524 to 776 of the family's 1533-position model. The record is from RNAcentral.